RNAcentral lists this ribosomal RNA (3220 nucleotides) under Promethearchaeati archaeon. RNAcentral describes it as "Asgard group archaeon (marine sediment metagenome) 23S ribosomal RNA". It matches the Rfam family "Archaeal large subunit ribosomal RNA". The record is from RNAcentral. Lineage: Archaea; Promethearchaeati.
CAUGUAGUGGAUGACUUGGCUAGGGAGCCGAUGAAGGGCGCGGUAAGCGGCGAAACGCUAUGGGGAGACGCAGACAGUCUACGAUCCAUAGAUUCCCGAAUCGGAUUUCCGGUUAUGGCUUAAUAAGCUGUAACAGCCAGAAAUGGCGGGGAACGCAGGGAACCAAAACAUUCAAGUACCUGCAGGAAAAGAAAGCAAUUGCGAUUCCGGUAGUAACGGCGAGUAAAACCGGAAGAGAUCAAACCGAAUUCCCUUUUCGAAAGAUUAGGGCAGAUGUGGUGUUUUUGACUACAAUAUAGACCGUCAGUGUGAAGUCGAAAAUCCCUGGAAAGGGAUGCCGUAGAGGGUAAUAGCCCCGUAGACGUAAGCACCCGGCUUAGUAGUAUCAAGACUAGUGUGGCUUGGAUGUGUCGCACAAAGUCGGGAGAACUAACUCCCAAAUCUAAAUACUCCCCUAGACCGAUAGUGCACUAGUAACGUGAGUGAAAGUUGAAAAGUAUUCGAAGUCCGAGAGUGAAAAGUGCCUGAAACUACAUGGUAACAGACGUGGAUGGCUUGAAAGGGUAGAGUCUCGACGAAGGAACCCAUCGCAAGGUGGUAGUACGAGUCGAGAGGACCAGAGUCAUCCGUUCCGUCUCGAAACACGGGCCGAGGAGUUCAGGUUUGUGGCAAGCUUAAGCGAAAGCGGUAGCGUAGCGAAAGCAACCGGCGCGCAGCUUCGGCAAGGCGCGACGUCCGAUAAGGGCGUGAAGUCACAGGUCUGAGACCCGAAAGCAGUUGAUCUAUCCCUGGCCAAGAUGAAGCGCUUCGAAAGGAGCGUGGAGGUCUGAAGGGGUAUUGAUAUGCAAUUCAUUCCCAUGAGUUGGGGAUAGUGGCAAAAGACCAAUCUAAACUGCUGAUAGCUGGUUCCCUCCGAAGUAUCACCACAGGAUAGCGCUGCUGGAGGUUGCAUGUGAGGUAGAGCUACGGACGGAAGGUCCUGGGGAGUGAAAUCCUCACCCUUCCUUCCAACUCCGAACUUGCAUGCGCCGUAGAAGGCGGCAGACGGGCGUGUAUCCGCAAGGGAUAUGGCCGAAAGGGGAACAACCCUACAAUGGGUUAAGGGCCCUAAAUCCCGGUUAAAUGUUAAACUGAAUGGCGUCCAACGACUAAGACAAUGAGGCGGUAAGCUUAGAGGCAGCUAUCCGUUAAAAAAAGCGUAACAGCUUACUCAUCGAGUUGUUGGGCCCAGAAAAUGGACGGGGCUAAACCGGGUCCCGAUACCCAUUUGGACUCUAAAAGAGUCUCAGGUAGGAGGGCGAUCGGGUUGGGCAGAAGCUGGGGAGUGAUUCCCAGUGGACCGACCUGAUUUGCAGAUCUCGGUGGUAGUAGGAGCAUAGUGAGGUGAGAAUCCUCAUCGCCGAAAGCCCAAGGGUUCCUUGGCACUGUUCGUCAGCCAAGGGUUAGUCGGUCCUAAGGUCGGCCUUAACACGAGCCGAUCGAAAGGGAAACAGGUUCAUAUUCCUGUACCACGCAUAUAGGUGUGGCAACACAAGCUUUGAGCUAACGCUGGUGGGUAGGUGGCCUAGGAGAAUAUCCUAGUUAAAUGUAGAAUUCUGGGGAGAACCGUUAAGGUGAGAACCAGACGAAUGUAUGAAGAGGCUGGCCAUAGGUUGCUGGCUGCCAUCAAUCCCAACAGCCCGUGAAAAGGCAAAAAGAACGAUUAUGCGUGUCCGUACCCAGAACCGACACAGGUGUGGCUAGCUUAGAAGGCUAAGGCGUGUUAGGGGAGCUCGGGUGAAGGAAAUCGGCAAAUUAGUCCCGUACCUUGGGUAUAAGGGAUGCCUGGAGAGGUGCAAGCCUCACCAGGUCGCAGUGACUAGGGGCACCCGACUGUUUAAUAAAAACAUAGCAAACUGCAAGGGCGAAAGCCUGAGUACAGUUUGUGAAUCCUGGCCGGUGCCGGUGCUUGAAACCUGGGUUCAACCAGGCUAAGACCCGGUAAACGCCGGAGCUAACUAUGAGCUUCUUAAGGUAGGCAAAUGCCUUGUCUGCUAAUUACAGACGUCCAUGAAGGGACCAACGAGGUGCCCACUGUCUCCACCCGAAGCCUACUGAACCCACAGUCCAGCGAACAGUCUGGAACGCACCAUCGGGAAGAGAAGACCCUGUGGAGCUUUACUGCUGUCAGGGGCUGUUGUAUUGGUGUGCAUGCAUAGCAUAGUCAGGAGAUGCUGAUCCUACAUUCUCCGGGAUGUAGGGGAGUCGAACUUGAAAUACUGACCUUGUGCAUUGGUACGACUUACCUCUUGCGAGGGGGACACCCCCUGCCUGGCAGUUUCACUGGGGCGGUAGCCUCUUGAAAAGAUAUCAAGAGGGCCCAAUGCCGAGCUCAACCGGGACAGAAAUCCGGUGUAGAGUGCAAGGGCAAAAGCUCGGUUGACUGUGAACUUAACAAUAUGGUUCGCAGAUGUUAACGCAGGGCCUAGCGAUCCUCCGUAUUGUCCUUAGUAGACGACGGAGGUGGCAGAAAAGUUACCCCAGGGGUAACUGCGCUUCGAAAUAAUCACGUAGAAGUGCUCUCAACUGGGUAACGCUUAUAUCUAAUUUCCAUCUUUUCAAAAAGGCAGAGUUGAAAUAGCUCCUGUCUUCAAAUUUCCGUUUGUGAGGAAUUCAAGUUUUCGCCAUAUUGGCCAAUAAUAGACUUGAGCAGAAAGGAUCCUAUAUCUGUCUGAAAUCCAACCAUUAUUAAUUAAUGGAAAAUCCCGAAUGAACAUGAUGGAGAGCCAAUAAGCGUGAGGAAACCGAUAGAUCGAAGGAUUGGUAACUUGCCUGAUUAACAGGUUGACAACUGAUCCAUAAGAUCGAUGUGCCUUCAGGCACAAGCGCAGCCCUGAACAGAGUUGUCGUGGGUAAGAGUUCACAUCGACCUCACGGCUUGCUACCUCGAUGUCGGCUCUUCCUAGCUUGGUGGUGAUUCAGCCGCCAAGAGUGGGGUUGUUCGCCCAUUAAAAGGGAACGUGAGCUGGGUUUAGACCGUUGUGAGACAGGUCGGAUUCUAUCUGAUGGUGCUGACGGGUGAUUGAGAGUAAAGUCUCCACAGUACGAGAGGAACAGGCGGCUGGGGCCUCUGGUGUACCGGUUGUCCUUCCGGGCAUUGCCGGGUAGCUAAGCCCUCGACGAUAAGAGCGGAAUGCAUCUACGCUCGAAGCGUCUCUCGAAACGAGUCACCCAUUCUGCA